Molecule: ribosomal RNA, 681 nt
Filed under: Triticum aestivum (bread wheat)
Lineage: Eukaryota; Viridiplantae; Streptophyta; Magnoliopsida; Poales; Poaceae
Description: partial small subunit ribosomal RNA
Source: RNAcentral
AUGUUUGACCCCUCCAUUAAAUGUGAUUACAUCAACAAUAACCUUGCCGAGUAUUUUAAUGGUUGGAUUAAAGAUUACAAAGAUUUGCCACCUGAUGAGCUAGCUGACACUCUUAGAGAGCUAGUCAUGAAACUUCAUGAGAAAAGGAGAAAGAUUGGAAUGAAAUUGAAAGGAAAAAUUAUUCCAGCCAUCAUCCAACAGAUUCAUAAUAGGACAAGAGGACUUAAACAUUUGAAAGUUGGGAAAUCUGGAGUUGCAAGUUGUGAGGUGAGGGACACAAGUAAAUACAACUUGCGACAUGUUGUGAAAACUGACCAAAGCGAGUGCACAUGCUUGGAGUGGCAGCACAUAGGGAAGCCUUGUGAGCAUGCACUUGCUUUCUUGCUAGAUAGAAGGAAUCCCAGAUGGGAGGAUUAUGUGCAUGACUAUUUCUCUCUAGAGAAGUUUCGGGUAGCAUAUGCUGGAGAGAUUGAGCCAUUGACAAAUAGGUCUCAAUGGCCACAUGUACAAUUUCCAUUUGACAUGGAGGCUCCAUUAGACAAUAAAAGAGGUGUUGGAAGGCCUAGAAAGAACAGGUACAAGAGCUUCCUCGAAGGUGGAGAUGGUGGUCCUAAAAAGAAGAAAGAACAGGUACAAGAGCUUCCUCGAAGGUGGAGAAGGUGGAGAAGGUACAACAGCUAG